GGGCCGGUAACUCAGCUGGCAGAGUACUGGCCUUUUAAGCCAGGAGUCGCAGGUUCGAAUCCUGCCCGGCCCA
This 73-nucleotide transfer RNA is filed under the name Thermosulfurimonas dismutans. RNAcentral describes it as "tRNA-Lys". It matches the Rfam family "tRNA". Rfam says of the family: Transfer RNA (tRNA) molecules are approximately 80 nucleotides in length. Their secondary structure includes four short double-helical elements and three loops (D, anti-codon, and T loops). Further hydrogen bonds mediate the characteristic L-shaped molecular structure. tRNAs have two regions of fundamental functional importance: the anti-codon, which is responsible for specific mRNA codon recognition, and the 3' end, to which the tRNAs corresponding amino acid is attached (by aminoacyl-tRNA synthetases). tRNAs cope with the degeneracy of the genetic code in two manners: having more than one tRNA (with a specific anti-codon) for a particular amino acid; and 'wobble' base-pairing, i.e. permitting non-standard base-pairing at the 3rd anti-codon position. RNAcentral also lists the same sequence under 2 other names. Lineage: Bacteria; Pseudomonadati; Thermodesulfobacteriota; Thermodesulfobacteria; Thermodesulfobacteriales; Thermodesulfobacteriaceae. The record is from RNAcentral.